GCGGUUCUACGCUCACGACCAGGACUGGACCAUCUGACUACGGAUCAGAAGGUUUGGGGUUCGAAUCCCUACAGGCGCG
RNAcentral lists this transfer RNA (79 nucleotides) under Nocardioides cavernae. RNAcentral describes it as "tRNA-Arg". Lineage: Bacteria; Bacillati; Actinomycetota; Actinomycetes; Propionibacteriales; Nocardioidaceae. The record is from RNAcentral.